This is a non-coding RNA of Neolamprologus brichardi, 185 nucleotides long. The record is from RefSeq and is a predicted model, not a curated record. NCBI's taxonomy places the organism in Eukaryota, Metazoa, Chordata, Actinopteri, Cichliformes, Cichlidae.
AUCAUGGCAUACGGCGGCCCCGUGUUUCCCGGGAUGAUCGUCUGUAUUUACUUUGUCAUCCUCUUCAUCUGUGGUAACUACAUCCUGCUGAAUGUCUUCUUGGCUAUCGCCGUGGACAACCUGGCAGGAGGAGACAGUGACGACAAGAAAAAAGAUAAGAAGGAGGAGGGAGCAGAGGAGGAAGC